CGCACUCCUACGGGAGGCAGCAGUGGGGAAUAUUGCACAAUGGGCGCAAGCCUGAUGCAGCCAUGCCGCGUGUAUGAAGAAGGCCUUCGGGUUGUAAAGUACUUUCAGCAGUGAGGAAGUGGGUAUGUUAAUAGCAUAUUCAUUUGACGUUAGCUGCAGAAGAAGCACCGGCUAACUCCGUGCCAGCAGCCGCGGUAAUACGGAGGGUGCGAGCGUUAAUCGGAAUUACUGGGCGUAAAGCGCAUGCAGGUGGUUUGUUAAGUCAGAUGUGAAAGCCCGGGGCUCAACCUCGGAAUUGCAUUUGAAACUGGCAAACUAGAGUACUGUAGAGGGGGUAGAAUUUCAGGUGUAGCGGUGAAAUGCGUAGAGAUCUGAAGGAAUACCGGUGGCGAAGGCGGCCCCCUGGACAGAUACUGACACUCAGAUGCGAAAGCGUGGGGAGCAAACAGGAUUAGAUACCCUGGUAG
Molecule: ribosomal RNA, 467 nt
Filed under: uncultured bacterium
Lineage: Bacteria
Description: bacterial SSU rRNA
Rfam family: Bacterial small subunit ribosomal RNA
Source: RNAcentral